UCAUCUUCUAAUGUAUGUAAUGAUUUGGGGACCGAUUGUUACAGUAGGUCAGUACAUUAUUCGUCCUUAAUUUUUAGGACCAAUGCAAAGGCGCUUUUACUUCUUGGGACCUGUGUCUAUAUUCAACACUGGCUGAAGGGAGAACAGUCUCCUCUCUCUGCUGACUAAUGAUAUAAUAUUAAAUGAAUUUGGAUAGCCUCAAUCCAGCUGCCAAUGAACAGUGCAGAGUACAAAGUUAACUCCACUAAUUGUCAAUCCCACCAAGGGAAGCUGUUGGGUGUUACGUAGAUGGAAUAGUUGUUCUUCAGAAGAAAAGUCUGAGGCACAUGGCUGGAGCAGAGUAGAGGGAUCUUUAUUAUGGAUCAAAGUGCCAUAAUCUGAUGUUUGAUUGCUUAAUGGAAAUGCUGAAUAUCUUAAACGAAAACUGUUCUAGAAAUGCUGAAUAUCUAAAACGAAAAUUGCCUAGUAUGGAAAAGAAAUGUUUCGGGCACAGUCAAGGUAUAUUCUCUCAAAAAGGAAAGGUACGUCAAACAAAUCCAGAGCUCCCCGGAUGAAAAAGGAAAUAAAGUUAACUUAUGGUAGAAAAUGUGUGCUCAUGACAGGUUUCAAGUAGAAAAUACAAUUGAAAAUCAAGCUGAGUACAAAAGGUUUAUAAAAGCAAAUAAGCGGUGAAGAGGAAUUAUGAGAAAAGACUGGCAACCAACAUAAAGGGGAAUCCCAAAGUCUUCUAUUGGCAAAUAAAUAGUAAAAGCGUGGUAAAAGGAUCAGUAAAGCUGAUUAGGGACCAAAAAUGGGAUUUACAUGUCGAUGCAGGGGGCAUGGCUGAGGUAUUAAAUGAGUACUUUGCAUUUGUCUUUAUCAGGGAAGCAGAUGCUACUCAGGCCAUGGUGACAGAGAAGGAAACUCUAUUGCUAGAAAGGUUCAAAAUUAACAGGGGGGGCGGGGGCCAUGGAAGUCGGAAUCCGCUAAGGAGUGUGUAACAACUCACCUGCCGAAUCAACUAGCCCUGAAAAUGGAUGCCGCUGGAGCGUCGGGCCCAUACCCGGCCGUCGCUGGCAAUGGGAGAGCCCGUGGGGGCUAUGCUGCGAUGAGUAGAAGGGCCGCUGCAGCGAGCACGGAAGCCCAGGGCCCGGGCCCGGGUGGAGCCGCCGCAGGUGCAGAUCUUGGAGGUAGUAGUAAAUAUUCAAACAAGAACUUUGAAGGCUGAAGUGGAGAAGGGUUCCAUAGCACAGCAGUUGAACAUGGGUCAGUCGGUCCUAAGAAAUAGGCGAACGCCGUUCCGAAGGGACGGGCGAUGGCCUCUGUUGACUUCAGCCGAUCGAAAGGGAGUCUGGUUCAGAUCCCCGAAUCCGGAGUGGCGUCCAGUGCGGUAACGCAAACGAUCCCGGAGAAGCCGGUGGGAGCCCCGGGAAGAGUUCUCUUUUCUUUGUGAAGGGCAGGGCACCCUGGAAUGGGUUCGCCCCGAGAGAGGGGCCCAUGCCUUGGAAAGCAUUGCGGUUCCGGCGGCGUCUGGUGAGCUCUCACUGGCCCUUGAAAAUCCAGGGGAGAUGAUGUAAAUCUCGCGCCGGGCCGUACCCAUAUCCGCAGCACGUCUCCCAGGUGAACAGCCUCUGGUAUGUUGGAACAAUGUAGGUAAGGGAAGUCGGCAAGUCAGAUCCGUAACUUUGGGAUAAGGAUUGGCUCUAAAGGCUGGGUCGGUCGGGCUGGGGUGCGAAGCGGGGCUGGGCAAGUGCCGCGGCUGGACGAGGCACUGCCCUCCGGGGCGGUGGCGACUCUGGACGCGCUCCAGGCCCUUCCUGGGGAUCGCCCCAGCUGCGGUGCUCAUCGGCCUCCUCGGCAGGCGAGUGGCCUCGGCCGGCGCCUAGCAGCUGACUUAGAACUGGUGCAGGCCAGGACUGUUUAAUUAAAGCGAAGGCCGCUGGCGGAUGUUGACGUGAUGUGAUUUCUGCUCAGUGCUCUGAAUGUCAAAGUGAAGAAAUUCAAUGAAGCGCGGGUAAACGGCGGGAGUAACAAUGAGUCUCUUAGAGGGGACUCCCGAGAGUGUCAAUUCUGGAUAGUUACCCUUGUGGUGUUUUCAUGCGUUUUUGUCACCACAUAGAAAGGCGUGCCUCCACGACGGCCCCGAUGGUAAACUCAAUAGUAGGAACGGACUAUUGAGGGACUAAACGUCGAGAAAAAGCACGAGACGGUUGUGAUCUAAGUGGAUCUGAUAUCUUGCGAUAUUGCCUGUGAAAAUAUUUUUUGUGGAAAUGCUAUCAAUGAUAGUUGAGACCGGAUGGGCUGCGUCCCGGAAGACAAACCGCCCCGCAGAAGCGUCAGCAGCAGCGCUCUGUGAAAAGUGCCGAUGCUGCACAUGUUCUAGCCAACCCACCGGGCUAGUAGCAGUGUCCAGGUAACAGGAAGACGAGAGACCAAUCGGACAAUACCUCCUUCCCAAUUGGGAGUUGGAUCCGGGUGCCAGACCCGAAAGACCAGUAUCCCCAAUAGUAGAUGACACAAGCACUGCUAUAGAAGAACCUGAGCGGGCGACCCACCUGACAGGAGAAGUAGUAGCUCUGGUAACCCAGACCUUCUAUAGUAAAAAAUACGCUAAAGGGAACCCGGGAACAGUGACUAAAACAAAUCUGGGCGUACAAACUAUGUGCGAAGAAACAUCCGAUGUGACGACCUUCAUGGAAGAGGUUGUUAUCGAACCCAGCUAUGACAGAACAGCAGUCAAAGAAGUGACGAUCCACUAUCCCACCGAUGGGUUGU
This 2754-nucleotide ribosomal RNA is filed under the name Scyliorhinus torazame (cloudy catshark). Its description in RNAcentral is "eukaryotic LSU rRNA". The stretch from base 1 to 2129 matches the Rfam family "Eukaryotic large subunit ribosomal RNA", at positions 419 to 3401 of the family's 3401-position model. The record is from RNAcentral. Lineage: Eukaryota; Metazoa; Chordata; Chondrichthyes; Carcharhiniformes; Scyliorhinidae.